GAUGAACGCUGGCGGCGUGCCUAAUACAUGCAAGUCGAGCGAAUGGAUUAAGAGCUUGCUCUUAUGAAGUUAGCGGCGGACGGGUGAGUAACACGUGGGUAACCUGCCCAUAAGACUAGGAUAACUCCGGGAAACCGGGGCUAAUACCGGAUAACAUUUUGAACCGCAGGGUUCGAAAUUGAACGGCGGCUUCGGCUGUCACUUAUGGAUGGCCCCGCGUCGCAUUAGCUAGUUGGUGAGGUAACGGCUCACCAAGGCAACGAUGCGUAGCCGACCUGAGAGGGUGAUCGGCCACACUGGGACUGAGACACGGCCCAGACUCCUACGGGAGGCAGCAGUAGGGAAUCUUCCGCAAUGGACGAAAGUCUGACGGAGCAACGCCGCGUGAGUGAUGAAGGCUUUCGGGUCGUAAAACUCUGUUGUUAGGGAAGAACAAGUGCUAGUUGAAUAAGCUGGCACCUUGACGGUACCUAACCAGAAAGCCACGGCUAACUACGUGCCAGCAGCCGCGGUAA
RNAcentral lists this ribosomal RNA (515 nucleotides) under uncultured bacterium. RNAcentral's name for it is "partial 16S ribosomal RNA". It matches the Rfam family "Bacterial small subunit ribosomal RNA", at positions 28 to 523 of the family's 1533-position model. The record is from RNAcentral.